AGAGUUUGAUUCUGGCUCAGAUUGAACGCUGGCGGCAUGCUUUACACAUGCAAGUCGAACGGUAACAGGCCGCAAGGUGCUGACGAGUGGCGAACGGGUGAGUAAUGCAUCGGAACGUGCCCAGUCGUGGGGGAUAACGCAGCGAAAGCUGUGCUAAUACCGCAUAUUCUGUGAGCAGGAAAGCAGGGGAUCGCAAGACCUUGCGCUGAUUGAGCGGCCGAUAUCAGAUUAGCUAGUUGGUGAGGUAAAGGCUCACCAAGGCGACGAUCUGUAGCGGGUCUGAGAGGAUGAUCCGCCACACUGGAACUGAGACACGGUCCAGACUCCUACGGGAGGCAGCAGUGGGGAAUUUUGGACAAUGGGGGCAACCCUGAUCCAGCCAUGCCGCGUGAGUGAAGAAGGCCUUCGGGUUGUAAAGCUCUUUCAGCCGGGAAGAAAUCACAUGGGUUAAUACCCUGUGUGGAUGACGGUACCGGAAUAAGAAGCACCGGCUAACUACGUGCCAGCAGCCGCGGUAAUACGUAGGGUGCGAGCGUUAAUCGGAAUUACUGGGCGUAAAGCGUGCGCAGGCGGUUUGUUAAGAUAGGCGUGAAAUCCCCGGGCUCAACCUGGGAACUGCGUUUAUGACUGGCAGGCUAGAGUAUGGCAGAGGGGGGGUGGAAUUCCACGCGUAGCAGUGAAAUGCGUAGAGAUGUGGAGGAACACCGAUGGCGAAGGCAGCCCCCUGGGCCAAUACUGACGCUCAUGCACGAAAGCGUGGGUAGCAAACAGGAUUAGAUACCCUGGUAGUCCACGCCCUAAACGAUGUCAACUAGGUGUUGGGUGGGUAAAACCAUUUAGUACCGGAGCUAACGCGUGAAGUUGACCGCCUGGGGAGUACGGCCGCAAGGUUAAAACUCAAA
This 902-nucleotide ribosomal RNA is filed under the name uncultured bacterium. Its description in RNAcentral is "bacterial SSU rRNA". It matches the Rfam family "Bacterial small subunit ribosomal RNA", at positions 8 to 905 of the family's 1533-position model. The record is from RNAcentral.